CCCUCCUCCCUUUCACUUAACCCGAUUCCUCACCUCUAACCCGAUAAAACAAUAACAAACAAUGGCUUCAAUUUCAAUAGCUUCAGCUGUGUACAACAACACUCCAACAACAACAAAACCAUCGAACAACAGCUUCAAUCAAUGUACAACCUGAUACCAACCCGUCAACCCAACUUCACCAAUGACAAAACCCGAUAUCAACAGGUCAAGUGACCCAACAAAAAUUCAAAACCUAAAAAUUCUCAAUUCGUACCAUUAUUGUACGAAUCCUGCUAAUCCCAAACUUAUCCCAUUCUUGAAUUCAAAUUUCCACAUAGAAAUUUUUGAAAUUACCCUGGAUUUCUUUGACUCAAACAUCAAAAAUCUAUUCCCAAAGCCCUCAAUUGCAUUUCUAUAAAUACGGGGUAGUCAUUGUCAGGAAAAAACCCCAUUGUAAAGGAUUUUUCCGUUAGUAAAGGUUUUCAAAACCAAAAGGUCCUAUAAGACUCCUUGAGCUUAGAUUUUGGGAAAGGAAACACAAAGCUUCCCGACGGUGGUGAAGCGAUCCCGAUCAAAGCUCGUCGUCUCGAUUUUGCUACCCCAAAAAAGGUAAACUCACCCUUUUUUCCCAUUCGUUAGUUAUUUCGUCUUCUUCAUCUUCUUUUUAUGAGUAGCAGUUUGUCGUAAUCGUAGUUAUGAUGGGACUAUGUGUUAUAUAAACCUAGGUUUUUAUUUUUGUUGUUUCAUUGGUGUAAAUACAUCCUGUUUUGUUAAUGUUAUUUUCCAUCGAUUUAUUAUGUAGUUGUUAGAAUAAUGGUUUUGUUGCUGUAGAUUUUGGUUUCUUCUUCCUUUCUUUGUAUUAAAUCCUUGUUUUGUGAUGUUUGAUAGAAAAGGUUCAUUGGAAUUGAAAAGAGAAUGCUUUGAAUUGGUUUAAGUAUGGUACUAUCUUUUUAUUACAAAUCCGACCUUUAUUGGUUCAUGAAUUUAAAAAUCUAUUAUUUCUCUUUUCCUUCAAAAGUUGUCUUUUGGAGUCUAUUAUUAUCGUUUUGUGUCGAUUCUUCUUUUGAAUUUUCUUUCGAGUAUGAGUUCUAAUCACUCUAUCUCACUGUUAUGAUUUCAUGUUUUUAUUUUCUCUUUUAUUUGAUUAUUUAGAAUCCACAUUCACGAUAUUACUCAUUAGUACUACUUUUGUUUGUCUCAUGUUGGCCUGUGUCUAGAAAAUGCUACAAUAGUUGAUAAAAGACUCAAGUUUAAAAUACGAGAUUUUCAUCCAUUUCUUGUGUUGUGUAACCAAAAGGCUAAAUAGAAAAUGACCUCAUUGAUUAAGAAACAGAAACUCUAGAACUGGAAUUUGGUUUCUGUCUAGUUUAACUCUGUACUGCUGCAAUUUUUGUUGGAUAAUAUUGCACUAGGACGAGUGUAAAUUGAGUGAUAUGGAUAUUGAGUAGUCAUAUAGUUGAUUCAAACUUGUCUGGAAUUAAGACAUAGUAUAAAUUAUCUGGAAUUGUUAUAUGUAAUCUGUUUCAUUCGUGUUUUACUGUUUUGCUUCUAAUUUUUAUAUGGAUUAAGCUCUUAAUGCCUAUUUUUAUGGAUUAGUUCAUAGGUUGAAAUAUGUUGCGAUAUUGUGAACUAGUGCUGGGAUGGUUGAGGCUGCCAUUGUGUUCUUUUUCCGUUUGCUUUCUUAGAUUCAUCACCUUAUAUAUCAAAGUAGUUCCUCUAAAGUAGACAAACUUUUAUCGGUCAAGAGAUAACCGUUUACUGCUUCCUUUUCCGUAAUUAAAAGUUGUCUGUGAGGUUAAAACUGUUAAUGUGUAUUCGUAAUCCAACAGGCGUUUCAUUAUUUCUCAAUACUAAAUGAGGACCUAUUGAGCAAAAAAAUUAGCUUACUUUUGGGGUUUUUUUUAGCAAUCCCUGGAAAGUGAGUUCAGAAGAAUGAAAAUUCAUCUUAUAAUUUUGGUGCAUCCUAGGACCAUUUAGUUUAACUAUUCUUGUUUGAAUUUCUGGUUGAGAUGUUGUAAACAUUCCUUCAAGUAUUCGAAUUUAUGGUAACACGACAUUUUAUUUAUUUAUUUAUUUUUAUUUUUAUUUAUUUAUGUAUGUAUUUUGCUGUUGUUUUGUUUUGUUUUGACAGUAUUGUUAAUUUGUUUGUUUAAGCCAACUGCACUUUGACACAUUUUCAGCUUUGAUAUAUCAAAUGAUGUUAUACUUAGUUUUACUUUGUAGAUUAAGGAUUUACUAACAUUUUAUUUACAAUUACUAUUCAAAAAUUUUAGUGUCUUGAUUCAUGGAAGAUGAAGUUAGAAUGAGUAUUUUGAUCUAAUUUACUUUCUAUACUUUCUAUACAUGAAUGGGUAACUAAUUUUUCUCUCGUGUUUGCAUGUGAAACCAAUUUCAAUCAAUUCGGACUCCUCGCUCUCUCGCUUCUAUCAUCCUUGAGUUAAAAGUCUCAUACAAGUCCACAAUGGACUAAUACAUGAAGAAACAGGACUGAUAUAUACGCAGAUAUACAGUAGUAUACAGCAGUGAAUGAAGGGAAGGAAUGAAGACACCAAUUUUAUACGCUGAUAUACAGUGUUGUAUACAAAAACGCAGCAGCAACAACGUUGAUAUACAGUCAGUAUACAGCUGAUAUACAGAGAUGAAAAUGGACCAAAGUCCAUAAAAGGUAAGGCCCAAAACCUGGGCAGAUUUGAAAAUGGGCUAGAAAGGGGCUCAAAUCUCAUCUUUCUCCUUUAUUUAUUUGUAUUUAAUUUGAUUAUUUGUUUGUAAUUUUAUCUAAUUUAGAUGAAUCCUCAGGGAGCAAGUUUACAUUAAGAUUAUUCAUUUUAUUUAUUAAUUUUUUUAUUUCCACAAAACAGCUGCAGCUCCCAUGUUUUUCCCCCCUAUUGAAACAAACAAUUUUCCCCUUUACUGAGCAUAAAGAAGAGGCUAGAGCAUCAAUGCUUUCUAAAAUAUAUUUAUGAAGAGCACAUAUAAGGUAAAUGUAACCAACUAACGUUCACGAAACCCACGACUACUGCCCCUUGACCGGCUGAUGUUGGCGACGGCGUCGGAGGGUCGGUAACAGGCAAUAAUAACCCUCACUCCCUCUUUCUUUUUCCCCAGUUCUCUUUACCCUCUUCUCUCUCCCAUUCCCUGUGCCUCUCCGUCGUUCGAACCACUUGUUGCUUUCGUCGGCGAUCAAAGUCGCCGUUGGCUAGACUCCGGUGACACAGAUAGUGCGCAGCUUUGGUCACACGCGAUCGAUUCGACGGGUCCAUCUGAUGGUACUGUUGAUUUCGAACAGAUCUGAUUCCCAUAAGUUUUGAUUUCGGAGGCACUCCGGUGAAGCUCCGGUCAUAAUACCAAGCGUAACUCGGUGACUUCUAACCUUUGCUAUUUCAUUCUUCGUAUAAAUUCUAGUUUUAUCUUCUGUAUCUUGACUUGCGCUUAAUUUGCUGGGAUUGUCUGUUGUUGUGUAUUUUCGGUUUAAUCCAUUGCUUGACUUAGUUAUAAUUUGUGGGUUUGACAUUUUCUUUAUUAUUACAUAUAAUGUGCUUGUGCCUUGUAUUUUCUUCUGUUGCUUUAUUACUGUCAUUGUGUGUUUUUAUGGGAGUGGUGGCUGUGGGCAUUGAUGGUAGGAUAGGGUCAUGUCCGAGGGAGUUAGGGCGGGGGCCUGUGUUGGGGGGUGGGGAAGGAGGGAAGAGCGGGGGGGGCUAGGCCCAACGUUAGGGGGGUAGAGGAAGAUGGCUAGAGUUCAUAGGCUGCGGGUUGGGUCUUGGAAUAUAGGUACUCUUCAGGGUAAGUCUAUAGAGCUGGUGAAGAUUCUUAGAAAGAGGAGGAUCAAUAUUGCGUGUGUGCAUGAGACUAAGUGGGUAGGGUCUAAGACUAGGGAUGUGGAAGGUUACAAGCUUUGGUACUCUAGUAGCGAGAGGCGUAGGAAUAGAGUUGACAUCUUAGUAGAUGAAGAGCUUAAAGGGCAGGUAGUGGAAGUUAAGAGGAUUAGCGAUAGGUUGAUGACUGUUAAGUUGGUCAUUGGGGGGUCUACUCUGAUUGUGUGUAGUGUUUAUGCACCGCAAAUGGGGUUGGAUGGGGAGGAGAAGAUGCGGUUUUAGGAGGCGUUGGAUGAGGUGGUGAGAGGAGUGCCUAGUUUUGAGAAGAUUGUUGUAGCAGGGGAUUUCAAUGGGCAUAUUGGGGCGUUAUCGGGAGGCUUUGGCGAUGCGCAUGGCGGUUUUGGUUUUGGGGAGAGAAAUAAAGAGGGAGCUGCUCUGUUGGAUUUUGCGAUGUCCUUUGGGUUGGUAGUAGUGAAUUGAGCUUUCCGAAGAAGGACGAUCACCUGAUCACCUUUCGAAGUGUAAUAGCCAAGACGCAAAUUGACUUUUUGCCCCUUAGGAAAGGGGAUAGGGUAUUGUGUAAGGACUGUAAAGUAAUCCCGAGUGAGAAUCUUUUGACUCAGCAUAGACUCUUAGUGAUGGACUUGGGUAUUAAGAAAGAUAAGAAGAGAAGGGGUGAGGAGAGUAGAUCUAGAAUUAAGUGGGGCGGCCUUACGCUGGUAAAUGCGAAAGAGAUAGGGGAAAAGGUGAUAGAAGUGGGGGUGUAAAAGUGCAGGGGACACGUGAAUGAUAUGUGGGAUAGGGCGGCUAGGUGCAUCAAAGAGACUGCUAGUGAGGUGUUGGGUAUUUUCAGGGGCUGUGCCGGCCAUCGUCGGGAGGAUUAGUGGUAGGAGGCGUAUGCUAAGUUAGGUGAGAGUAAGGAUGAAGAUGAGAAAUGGGCUAAUAGGGAGGAGUAUAAGAUAGCUAGGAAGCAGGCUAAGUUAGCAGUCACGGCUGCUAAGACAGCAGUGUUCGAGAGCUAGUAUAUGGGGUUAGAGGAGAAAAGAAGGGAAAAAGGUUAUUUAGGCUUGCUAAGGCUAGGGAGAGAAGGGUUGUGACCUCGACCAGGUGAAGUGCAUUAAGGAGGAGGAUGGUAGAGUAUUGGUGGAGGAUGGUCACAUUAAGAAGAGAUGACAGUCGUACUUUGAUAAGUUAUUGAAUGAAGAAGGGGAUAGAGUUAUUGUAUUGGGGGAGAUGGAGUACACAGAGGAGUAUCGUGACUUUAGUUAUUGUAGAUAUUUUAAGGUAGAAGAGGUCAGAGAGGCUGUUUGCAGGAUGCGUAGGGCUUGCGAUGGGGCCUGAUGAGAUCCCUGUUGAUUUUUGGAAGUUCUCUGGCGAGGCUGACUUAAGGUGGUUGACUGAAUUAUUUAACGAUAUUUUCAAGUCGGCAAAAAUCCCUGGGGAUUAGAGAUAGAGUGCUAUAAUUCCUCUUUAUAAGAACAAGGAUUACAUUCAGAGUUGCCAUAACUGUAGAGGUAUUAAUUUAUUGAGCCACACUAUGAAGAUUUGGGAGAGAGUGGUCGAGUUGAGGUUAAGGAGGAUAGUAUCUAUCUCGGAGAAUCAGUUUGGAUUUAUGCCCGGGCGUUUGACGACAGAGGCAAUUCACCUGGUGCAGAGAUUAGUGGAACAGUAUAUGGAAAGAAAGAGGGAUCUGCACAUGGUGUUUAUCGACUUGGAGAAGGCGUAUGACAAAGUCCCUAGGGAGGUGCUUUGGAGAUGAAGGUGAGUGGGGUAUCGAUGGCAUAUAUUAAAGCAAUCAAGGACAUGUAUAAUGGAGCUAAGACUUAGGCGAGGAUGGCGGGAGGAGACUCAGAGUAUUUUUCUGUCUUGACGGGGUUGCACCAGAGUUCCACUCUUAGCCCAUUUUUGUUUGCUUUGGUAAUAGAUGUGUUGAUGCGGCGUAUUCAAGGAGAAGUGUCUUGGUGUAUGCUUUUUGCAGAUGAUAUAGUUUUGAUUGAUGAGAUGCGGGGUGGGGGUGGGGGGCAUGAAUGAUAAAUUAGAGGUGUGGAAACAGACCCUUGAGUCUAAAGGGGUCAGGUUGAGCAGGAGCAAGACAGAAUAUUUGGAAUGCAUGUUUAAUGACGUGAGGCAGGAAAGCGAGGUGGUAGUAAGGUUGGAUUCCCAGACGGUGGGUAAGAGGGAUAGUUUCAAGUAUUUGGGGUCCAUAAUCCAGGGGAAUGGUGAUAUUGACGAGGAUGUCUCCCACCGUAUUGGGGUCGGAUGGAUGAAGUGAAAGCUCGCCUCGGGGGUGUUGUGUGGUAGGAAAGUGCCGCCCAAGCUUAAAGGUAAAUUUUACAGGGUGGCAGUCCGUAUGGCCAUGUUGUAUGGAGCGGAAUAUUGGCCAGUCAAGAACUCUCACAUUUAAAAAUUAAAGGUGGCAGGAAUGUGGAUGCUGCGUUGGAUGUGUGGGCUUAAUUGGGGUGAUAGAAUUCGAAACGAGACUAUUCGAGAAAAGAUUGGAGUGGCUUCGGUGGAAGACAAGAUGCGGAAAGUCCGAUUGAGAUGGUUCGGGUAUGUGAUGAGGAGGGGCAUAGAUGUCCCGGUUCGUAGGUGUGAGAAACUUGCUUUGGAUGGUUUCAGGCGAGAUAGGGGUAGGCUGAAGAAAUACUGGAGAGAGGUGAUCAGGCGGGUCAUAGAGCAGUUACAGCUCACUGAGGACAUGACCCCAGAUAGGAAGAUCUGGAAGAUGCGGAUUAGGUUAAAAGGCUAGUGUCAGUUUGAGUAGUUGGGGUAGGGCAUUACUUGGUAGAUGUAUUAUUCUUGCUAGGACACUUUGUUGCAUGCUUUAUUACGAAUGUAUUUACUAUUCUUUGUUUAUUAUUCCUUGUGGGUGGCGUAUUUAUAUCUUGGCAUCUUGUUCCAUGCUUUAUUAAGUAUUUAUUUAUUACUCCUUGUCUUGAGCCGGGGGUCUAUCGAAAACAGCCUUUCUACUUCUCCUGAAGUAGUGAUAUAGACUGCGUACAUCUUACCCCCCAGACCCCACUAUGUGGGAAUACACUGGGUUUGUUGUUGUUGUUUUCUUUAUUUCUUUAUUUAGGCAAAUUUUUUGCUUAUAAAAUAACUUGAAAUUCUUUUUUUUAUAUAGUUAUUAAUAGUUUAAAUCCAUUUUUAAGAAGUUGGGUUAAUUAUUUAGCCUAAAGUCUUAAUCCGGAUAAAAUUAUUAAAGUUAGAGUUAUUUUGAAUCUUUUGAUUCUUAAUUUAUUUUAUUUUAUCGCUUAGAAUAAAUUAGAUGAAUUAGUAGCAAAUAAAUUUUAUUGAUUUCAACUAAGAUUUUCAAAUAAAUUCAAGAUCUUUCUAAAAUAAGUUCAAGAUUUUUGUAACUUAAGAAAUGUUUUUCAAGUUUAGCCAAACAAGUUAAAUCUGUCGGGAACCACACUUGUGAAUUUUCGAAAGUACCUAACACCUUUUGAAUUUACGUGAACCCUUACAUAGACUCUGGUUAUUUUUAAUGGUUCUUGUUCAAAAUUAUCUUUUUGGCUGCUUAAUUUUUCUAAAAUUAAGUGGCGACUCUAAGUUAUUUUUCAAAAUAAAAUCGAAUAGACUUUUCUUUUAUUUUUUACCAUGAAGUUAUGGAACGUUUUUGACUAGUGUCAAAAAUGGAUCGUAACAAUCUCGAGUGAAAAUGGGAACAGAUCACUAUGGACUUCAUGACUAGGUUGUCUCAUAUUUCUUGUGGUUUUAAUAGUGUUUGGAUAAUCAUGGAUUGAUUGACCAAAUUUGCUCAUUUUAUUCUGAUUCGGGUUUCUUUCAGUGUUGAGAGGUUGGCAUGUAUCUAUAUUUGUGAGAUAGUUUGUCUUCAUAGUGCUCCAGUGUCUAUCAUCUUAGAUCGAGGUUCAGUGUUAUCUUCUUAAUUUUGAAAGACUUUUUAGAGAAGUUAUGUACUCAAGUUAAUCUUAGUACAAUAUUUCACCCCCAUACUAAUGAUCAAUCAAGUGGACUAUUCAAAUUUUGGAGGAUAUGCUCCACACUUGUGUGAUAGACGUUUGUGGUCAGUGGGAGCAGCAUCUAACUUUGGCAGAGUUUCUGUAUAAUAAUAGCUACCAUUCAAGUAUUGAGAUGUCUCCUUUCGAGGCCUUUUAUGGUAGGCAUUGCCGCUCUCCAUUUGGUUGGUUUGAUGUUUUGGAGAUUAAACGUCGAGGUAUGGACUUGAUCCAAGUGUUUUUGGAUAGAUUUUAGGUCAUUCAAUAUAGACUUCGAGUGGCUCAGAGUAGGCAGAAGUGUUAUACGAACUGUAGACUUUGUGCCUUGAGAUUCAGUGUUAGUGAUCGUAUCUUUCAUCAUGUGACAUCCAUGAAGGGCGUGAUGAGGUUUGGGAAGAGGGGCGAGCUAAUCCUCAAGUAUAUUGGACAUUUUGAGAUCCAUUGAACUAUUGGGAAUGUGGCUUAUGAGGUAGCAUUACCUCCAGAUUUAUUAAUUGUUCAUCCAGUUUUUCAUGUUUCUAUGCUUUGGUGUUACAUUCCAAACGAGUAUCAUGUCAAUCAUUAGGAUUCAAUCCAGUUAGAUGAGUGGUUGUCUUUUGUUGAGGAGCCUAUCUCCGUUCUAGCCAAAGAUGUUAGAUGGUUGUGUUCUAGAGUUAUUCCUAUGGUUAAGGUCUAGGGGAGGCAUCGACCUAUAAAUGAGUCUACUUGGGAGGUCGAGUCUAAUUUGCAUAGUAGUUAUCACUAGUUUUUCACUGAUUCGGGUAAUUUUAUUGUCCUUAGUUCAAGGACGAAUUAGAUUCUUAGUGGUGGCUGAUAUAAUAACUUGAUUUUUGGUGAUUUCGAUGAAAUAUUUGGGUUUGCAUGAAUUGGCCAUUUUACCUCUCCGCGUGUUUGCAUUGUGGUGUUUUUGGGGUGUGGGGAUGUUUGGCAUGAUUCCCAAUGUAUUUUGAUAUGAUUUAUGUGAGGUUGUAAUUUUUAGUGGUCUUAAAGGCUUACUAGUUGGCAUCGGUCAACAUCUUUUGAUUUCUGCGUCGGAUGGCAAAAUGGACUACAUUAGAAAAACAGACUGCAUUAGAAAAUCCAAAACGUCAAUUUUAGAUUGGUUACAUAGUUGGUGUGGUUUUAUAGAUUUCAUCUUAUUUUGACCCUCUAUUCAGGAAGUUGCAAAAAUAGGUCUUGGGGGUUAAUUCUGUGAAAACAAUAGCUUUUCAAAAUACUGAUAUCUCCAUUGAGUACGGAGCGUCGAAUUUGAUAGGUUAGCAUAGUUUGUUUGUAUUUUUGGGUCUUCAGAUGAAUCUCGAGGGGUCCAUGGAGACUUUAAAUCUACAGCUGGUUCAGCCGCUAAAGCGCCACUAUGGCUGUUUUAUUGACAGGCGCUAAAGCUCCACUUGACCGUUUUAGCCGCCAGCUAGCAGUUGGGCAAGGGCACUUUAAUGACCUAAUAUACUUUAGUGGAGAGUUCUAUAGUGACCCUUGUCUGCUAUAAUGGACUGGCACGCUAAGCGGGUACGGCUAAAGCGGUACUUGACCACUUUAGCGACACCUAGCACUAAGUAUGUAAAUAAUCUUUUUCUCAGUUUUCUUCACUAUUUUUGAGACUUAGAGCUUAGGGUUUGAGUUUUUGGUCAUUUUCUUCUAUUCUUUAAGCUUGGGUAAGCUCCAAACUCCCAUUUAAACUACUUUUCUUCGAUUCUAUCAUUUAAAUCUUGUUUAAACUCAAAUUUAAAGGUGGAAUUUGGGAAUUUUGUCUCGAAAGGCCCAAAUUUACAUUUCUUCGUUUCAAACCCCAAUUUCACCUCACUUUUACUUGAGUUUUCUCCUAUGAGUUCCUUUAAUCUUCAAAAACAUAUUUUUGGAUAAAAAUUUAACUUUACCCUCCUUUUUUUCAAAACCCAUUUUGAGGGUCCGUUUUGACCCCUAUUCGAAUGUGAUUAAUAUGGGUAUCAUUGGUUUUCUUUUGAAGCAUAGAUUUUAUAGUAGUGUGUUCUAGAUGAUUUUUGGGUCUGUGCGUGAGGUGAAAGCUCAGUGAUAAAGGCUGAUUUGUUCUGACUUUGGCAUUCGAGGUAGGUUAUGGCUUAACUUUCUUUAGACUGGGUUGGUAGUUAAUUAUAAUGUACAAGCAUGCUAUGGGUAUGGGGUUGUAUCAUGAAAAAUAUGUUUAUGUGAUUCAUGUUUGUGUGGCUAGCUUUGCUCUACAAGCCUUGUCUUAGGUUUUGGUAUUUACUUCCCUUAUUAUAUCAGCUAAGGUAAUAAGCCUUCUUGUCAAUGCUUAUCACGACAAGUGUCAUCAUGACCCUUGGUUUUUGGGUCAUGAUAUUUAGACAACUUUUUAACUCUUGACCAGACUUAUACCUUGGAUUUACUUUAAAGAACAGUCCAAGUUCGGUGAUGGUUACUCUGUUAUGGCUCUAUAUUUCCAGUUUAUGUCUCCCCUAUUGACUCUUUCUAUUGAGGGUGAGGGGUUUAUCAUAUAUUGUGAUCCUUUUGGUAUCUGUUUAGGUGAUGUUCUUAUUUAUUGGGUUGAGUUAUUUCUUAUGCAUUGGGGCAGCUAAAGGUGAAUGAGCUUAACUACCCCAUUUAUGAUUUGGAGUUGGCUGCUGUAGUUUUUGUGCUUAAGAUUUGGAGGUAUUCAUUGCGAGAUCUACACCAAUCAUUGAAAUCUUUAGCACUUUAUAACUCAGAGAGACCUUAAUUCUAGACAGUUCAGAUAGAUGUUGCUAAAGAACUAUGACAUCUCUAUUUUAUACCAUCCAAGCAAACACGAAUAUGAUAGCAGACAUCUUGAUCUGGAAGGUGGCGAGUAUGCGUAGCUUGGAUUUUCUCAUCUUUUAAGAUGCCACUGGCAUGGGAUAUCUAUUCCUUAGUCAACUUAAUGGUUCGACUUGAUAUCUCAGACUCCAGGAUAAUCCUUGCUAGUGUUGAGUCUAAAUCUACCUUAUUUGAGUGGAUUUAGAGUUACGAGUUUGAGGAUAGUAGACUUUGUGGCAUCCGUGAUCAGGUUUUGAGGGGUGACUCCAGGAGGGCUACUUGGAUUCUAAGGGAGUUUUGAGACAUGAUAGUUAUAAAUGUGAUUUGAGGGUUGGAGACUUGAUUCAGUUGAUAUUGUGAGAGGCUCACAACUCUAAGCAUUCUAUUCACCCUGGGACAACUAAGAUAUAUAGAGAUUUGAGACAACACUACUGGUGGAGUAGCAUAAAAAGAGAUGGGGAAAAUAUUGUGGCUCGUUGCCUAUGUUGUUAGCAGGUAAAGGCCAAGAAUUAGGGGCCUGGAGGCCUGGUUCAAAGAUCUCCCAUUCCCGAGUAGAAGUGGGAUUGGAUCACCUGGACUUUGUUAGUGGUUUUCCUCGCACCUCUCGGGGUUUCGCAAUUUGGGUCAUUAUAGAUCGAUUGACCAAAUUGGAACAUUUCUUUCCUAUUCAAAUAUCCUUCAGUGAUGAGAGGUUCGCCCAAAUCUACAUUCGGGAGAUAGUUCACCAACACAGAGUACCUAUAGCUAUUAAUUCAGACAGUACUCAAGUGGACAUUACCACCAGUUUCCACCCUUAAACCAAUGGAAAAUUAAAGCAGACUAUUUAGGUUCUCGAUAAUAUGCUUGGACUAGUGUUAUGGACUUUAGAGAUCAAUGGGGCAGCACUUAGCACUAGCAAAAUUAGCUUACAAUAAAAGCUACCAUUAUAGAAUUAGAAUGGCACCAUUUGAGGCAUUAUAUGGUAGGGAUUGUCGAUCUCUGAUCGGGUAGGUCAAGACCUCUAAGGUUAGUCCCUGUGAUACCUAUUUACUUUGUGGGUUGUUUUGAUAUUGUCCGACUGAUCCAGGUUAGGCUGCGGUUAGCUUAGAGUAGACUGGGGGAUUUUGCAAAUCGUAAACUUCGUGCCUUGAGAUUAAGGGUUAGAGACCGAGUGUUCCUUUGAGUAUUGCCCAUGAAGGGCGUGAUGAGGUUCAGGAGGAAAGGCAGGCUCAGCCCUAGGUAUAUUAGACCUUUUGAGAUACUUUAAACAGUUAGAGAGGUAUCUUCUAAGUCGACCUUUCCCCCAGAUUUUGUCAUUAUUCAUCUAGUGUUUCAUGUUUUUAAUGUUAUGGCAUUAUAUUCUUGAUGAGUCUCAUGUGCUACGGUGGGACUCAAUUUAGUUGGAUAAGAGGUUGGCCUUCGUGGAGGAGCCAGUUCUCAUAUUACCCAUGGAUGUAAGGUGGUUAUGGUCUAGGAAGAUUUCAGUAGUUAUGGUUUAGUGGAGGAACCGCCAAGUAGAGGAGGUUACCUGGGAGAUUGAGAGCAAGAUAUGGGCCCAGUAUCCCUACAUAUUCGAGCCUGUUGGUAUGCCUUGAUAACGCUCAAUCUACAGCUCUCGUGGGAGUGUAAAGCGGUCGUUAGCAAAUAUAGAACCCAACCUGGGUUGGGUAUCGAUCCCACAGAGAAUAGCUUGGCCAACAAGCAAGAGAAAUUACUAGACUUUUAGUGCAAGUCUCGUAGGAAAGGGGGGAUUGUAGUAUGUAACCAAAACAAGAAGGUAAGAACUGAAAAUAGCAAAAUAAAGAGAGAUUGUCACGUGUGUUGUAAACAAUGAGAAUUGAGGCGUUGGGGUUAUGUCCACCUUCUGAGGUAUACGUCUCUAUUGGCUAUGAGUGUGUAGAGUCUUGACAUGUAAUUGCUUAUAGAGAAUUGUAGUCGAUGGUAAAUCCAAGCGUCUCUCGACCUAAACAAGGACUAUUUCACUUUAACUCUCUCGAGCUUAAAGCGUGACUAACGGUACGAAUUCUCCAAGAAGUUAGUCCAGGUACGGCACUAGCUUUUUAAUAGGAAAGGGUGUCCUACUACCUUGACAUUAUCUCUUUUCCAGACAAAUAACUUUUCUCUCGAACAAGUCAGAUGUUAGACUGGCGUUGGUCUAUGCGUCUUCUUUUCUAGACAAAUAACCUUUCUCUCGAACAGGUUAGAUGUUAGAAUGGCGUGUUCUUGUGUUUGAACCGCAAAGAAUGUAGAUUUAAGAUGAAGAGAAUAAUGAUAUAAGCAAUAUACUUGUCUUGAACUCACAAACUCAUAGCUAUAGAUAGUAACUCAUUCGGCUUCCAUAACCCCAACUAAGAGAUUUAGUUACCCAUGAAUGCGAAGGAUAUCACGCUUUGCAUGGUGGAUGGCGUGAAUAGUAGGUGUUUGGCGUGUGGUUUUAGUGAUUCCGUAGCAAGUAACGAUUCUCUUGUUGUGGAAUUUAAGAGUAGAAGAAUGAAGAAUUGAGAAUGGGUUGUAGGAAGAUGUCUUAAUUGUAAGGAGAUGAAUGAAUUGUCAGAAUGUCUCCCUUCUUGAAAAUCUCUAACAUGAUAGGGUAUUUAUAAUACUCCUAUCCUACUCCUACUAAACUAAUAAAAUAAAUAACCAAAUCCUAAUAUACUAAUGAAAUCCUUGACCCAAUUGUACUAGGGUAAGGUUACAAAAUUAUAAUCCAAAUAGAAUGAUGAAACACAUAACCUAAUUGCACUAGGUUAAUGUAUUAUGGCAAAAAUCCAGCUUUGUGUCUGUAAGUCCCAAAGUCUUCAGAAAUGCUGUUUUAGCCCGGGACAGAUUUUCCAUGCAGCAGAUUUAGUCCUUUAUGCGUCCAGCUCCUUUCCAUCUCGUUUGUGAGCUUUCUUUUGCGUCAAGUAAGCCAUAAAUUGCUGUAUUUUGCAUCAUUUAUACCUGAAACUUUCCUAAUCACAUUUGUUAGCUCAUUUACAGGAAAAAGGACUAAAAGUGUACGAAAUAGAUAAUUAGUUCUCGAAACUAGGCUAAAAUAUGGGCAAAAUAUAUUGAUAUAGGCGCGUAAUUUCGCCUAUCAUCAACACCCCACACUUAGAGCUUUGUUCGUCCUCGAACAACAUAUCAUGUCCUUCUAAGCAUUGACUUAAGGUUUUUACAGAAACAACACAAAACAUUCUUCAAGACAAGCACAACAAUUAUCAACGAAGAGUAGCUUUCCGAUUAUAAGUAGAAACAAUUUAACCUCAAGCAUAGACUCGUGAUGGUGAUCAACUCGCAUGCAAACGUUUAAGGUACAUAGAAUCAUAUACAACUAUCCAAAACUCAUCAACCAUGUGUGUCUCACAAUAUAGUACCCAUAAUCACUCACAAGUAUAGCAUAUUUUUCAAACAUGGGCAGCAAAGUAUCCUUGCGCUCACUCUCACAAAGAAUUCAUAUGUAGCAGCUAAUGACCAUAGGCUUGCCCUUAAUGUAGUACUCCACUAAAUGUCGGAAUGUUAAGGUUAGGAUCAAGUAGGUCUUUUGAUGGUUGUAAUGUAGGCUAAGGGACGGGUAGGAUCAACUAUUUUGGCCAGAAAUAGUGACUAAGUUCCUAAGCACUUUAAUACAUCACAUUGUAUUAUUGACACUUUUUUGUAGCACCCUUGUUCUCCUCUUUUGUUUUUCAAUUUUAAAGCACAACUCACUUUUCAGCUUUCUUUUCCUUUUUCUUCUCACAACAUACCUCUUAUGAUAGCACUUUCUUUUUCAUAACAUAUUCAAGCACCAUUACAAUUUAAAGCAUCAUACUCAACCAAUUUCCUCUUAUGUUGUCACAUGACUUUUUCACUUUAAAGCACUUAGGAAUUUGGAUCAAAUUACGGUCUUGAAAAAAAAAUGAAUUAGGCUUACAUACAAGGUUGUCAAAGAAAUAGGCUAAAGGCUCAAAAGGGUUUAACUAGGAUGAUGUCCAUGGGUAGGUAAAACUGAAGGUAAACAAAUAUAGGUUGCCAAAGAAAUGCCUAAAUCAUAUCCUAAACUUACACUCCUUAUUUUCGCUUUGCAUACAUACCAGGCAAGUUCUAGCAUCAGCCACAUACAUAGAAUAUACUAUUAUCUCACACACACAAGGCACAUGGUCGACUUGAUUGGUAGCAAUAUAGACUCUCAACCCAACAAGUGAAGGAAUUGAAUCACACACUAUCACAUAAUGAGUCACAACUAGAGCCUAAAUGUCUCAAUAGUCACAAUUGUAAUACAUACUAUUGUUAUAAUCUCAUGCUGCCUAUUAAAAUAAUUUCAUGCGAGGCUAGAAAAAUUUUAACUACUAAAAACUAAAAAAAAAACGUCACACGAAAAAAAUCACAAAAAAAAAUCGGACUCAAAACAAAAUAAAUAAAACAAAAUAAACAAGCAAACAUACAAAUAUAGCAUGCAGAUUCUGCCGACACCCCACACUUAGACUAGACACUGCCCUCAGUGGAAAAUAAAGUCGAAGAACCUGAUUAGUCGGACUCUUCCUCAAUGUCAUACCCCCUUCGUUCGAGUCAUCGUAAGAGUCAUCGUCAGAGUUCUCCUCAGCAUCAGAAUCAGGCAAGCGUCUAUCAUCAUCAGUUGGCACGUCAUCAUCAAGAGGUUCCUCGAAAUAUACUCCCACUCCACACAUCUCCCGGGCAUGUCUGUUCAUUGGGUAGUCGUGGUCCAGCUGUUGGAGCUCUUCAGCAGUUGGAAUACGUCCACCACUCAUCAUAGUGAAUCUCGUCAUGCCAUAGAGAUGACGGAAGAAACUCUCGUCACGAGCAUGUCUCUCCGCAGUGGUAAGGUUGACUCCAUGCGUUGUUUCAGCAUCUUUGACCUUGGUGAGGUCAACCUUCUUUGGGGUAUGUGGGAGUUUGUGGUCAGCUGGUUCCUCCUCUAUAUCCUCCUUCCGCAACAUUGCUGUCAACAAAUUGCCGAAUGUGAAAUAGGACCAUUCACAUUCACAUCAGUCUGGCUUUCCUCAUGGUGGAUCGAAUGAUUGCCCCAAAGUUGAUAGGGACAUUCGUCAUUAAUGAAUAAACCAGGCACACUCUAUCUCUCGAUAUCUUUGUGUAUUGCGUCCCAGGAAUGAGGCAUGAGUUGACAAUGCGCAUCCAGAUUCUUGCUUCCCUAUUUAGUGGAGCAUAGGGGAAUGUGUUGUGACGGCCUGUUUCCUUAUGUCUGCCCCAUCUCGCCAUCGAUCUGCUUCCACAAAGCGUGUGUCUUAUAGCUCUGUAAGGAGGUCUGCUGUACAGCUCUUUGUAUGGUGCAGUGUCGACCGAAGGUAGGCCUAGAAACGAGUUGAUCCAAUCCGCUGUAAGCUGUAACACUUGGCCCCGAAUUUUGACUUCGUUGCCUGUUGUGUUUGGCGACCAGUUGGCAUAAAACUCUCUUGUCAAGUCAAGAUUGCACUCUCCCAUGUCACGGAAGAUGAAAUCCAGCUUCAAAGCCAUAAUCUUAGCCAACAUUUGCGGCUCCUUCUUUGCUAAGGUCUCCUUAUUGAUUAAGUCGACGUGCACAUAUUUCUUUUCUUUGUUGCUGCUGUACCAUGCCUUGGCUUCUUCCUCAAGAACCCAUUUGAUUCCGAACAUUCUGCGUGGUAGGUGUGCGGAAGAUGAUUCGCCUUGGUCUUUUCGGCUUCUCUUUUUGUCCUUGCGGGUUGUGGUAGCCUUCUCCUUGCCUUGCCUUGCUUUCGGUGCCAUUGUACCGCCUUUACCAUACAACGCGACCAAAUCGUCAAUUGAAAUCAAUCUCCUCGUUGCAUACUUCUUACACCUAUAUUUGCUCAAACAAAUGAAAACGAUUAGUACGAUGGGUUGCCUCCCACCAAGCGCCUUAGUUUUGGUCGUGGCACGACUCUUAUUUUUGGAUUUUCAUUUAUCAAAAAGAAAAAAUACUAAAACGACAAAACGAUAAAACAAUAAAACGAAGGGUUGCCUCCCAUCUAGCGCCUUAUUUAUUGUCGUGGCUCGACGUAGUAAUCUCGAGUACUUAGACUUCGUCGAGAUAAGUGAUGGCCAUGUCAUUUAUCGAGUCAAGAGGACCGAUAUAUGGCUUAACACGUUGGCCAUUCACCUUGAAGAUAACACCCUCAUUAUUUUCCAAUUCGACUACUCCAAACGAGUAGACGUGGGUGACUUUAAAUGGACCAGACCACUUUGAUUUUAACUUACCUGGGAAGAGCUUGAAUCUGGAGUUAAAGAGUAGCACCAUGUCACCUUUUUGGAAGUGUCGUCGAACAAUCCGCUGAUCGUGAUACUUCUUCAUCCGCUCCUUGUAUAAAUCUGAUCUUUCAUAAGCAUGGAGACGGAAUUCAUCUAGCUCGUUCAGCUGCUCCAACCUCAGGUUCUUCACAUCAUCCCAAUUCAGAUUCAAGUGCUUCAAUGCCCAUAAUGCCUUGUAUUCAAGCUCGAUGGGUAGAUGACAAGCCUUCCCAUAAACUAGCUGAUAAGGUGACAUGCCAAUGGGUGUCUUGAAUGCAGUCCUAUACGCCCAUAGUGCAUCAUCUAGCUUCCGAGACCAAUCCUUCCGAUUCGCAUUGACCGUCUUGGCAAGGAUUUGCUUGAUCUCCCGAUUGGAAACCUCUACUUGUCCACUAGUUUGGGGAUGAUAAGGCGUAGCUACCUUGUGUUGCUUGACUCCAUACUUGGCCAAUACAGAUUUGAAUAGCUUGUUGCAGAAGUGAGAUCCUCCAUCACUUAUGAUAGUACGAGGUACCCCAAAGCGAGAGAAGAUAUUCUUCUUUAAAAACGCUACAACACGCUUUCCUUCAUUAUCGGCCAAUGCUACAGCUUCAACCCAUUUCGACACAUAAUCCACAGCAACCAAGAUGUACUUCAUUCCAAACGAAUUUACGAAUGGUCCCAUGAAAUCAAUACCCCAUACAUCAAAGAGUUCUACCUCCAGGAUUGUGGACAUGGGCAUUUCAUGGUGUUUUGAAAUAACACCUUGACGUUGGCAUUGGUCACACCUUCUCACAUAGUCGUGUGCAUCUCUGAAUAUUGUAGGCCAAUAAUAACCACUUUGCAAGACUUUUCUUGCUGUUCGAUUACCCGCAUGAUGUCCUCCAACUUGCGAAGUGUGGCAUGCUUCUAAUAUAGUGGGCACUUCGUCAUGGGAUAUACAUCGUCGAAUGAUACCAUCCGCACAUCUUCGAAACAAAUAAGGCUCAUCCCAAUAAUAGUGCUGAACGUCAUGCAUAAACUUCCUCCUCUGGUGGUAAGAUAAAUUUGUAGGUAACACAUUACUCACCACGAAAUUCGCAAAGUCGGCAUACCAUGGUAAGUCUUCUAUUGUUGUCGCUAAUAUCUCCUCGUCAGGGAAUGCAUCGCCAAUCUGAUUUUCUGAUUGCGCCACAUACUCAUUCUCAAGUCUAGAUAGGUGAUCAGCCACUUGGUUCUCGCAACCUCUUCUAUCUUUGACUUCGAAAUCAAACUCUUGCAGCAGCAACACCCAUCGAAUCAGCCUUGGUUUUGCAUCCUUCUUUGUCAUUAGAUACCUAAGAGCUGCAUGGUCUGUAUGAACGAUCACUUUAGUACCUAAUAGGUAGGCGCGGAACUUCUCAAACGCAUACACAACCGCUAAUAGCUCUUGUUCAGUGACGGUGUAGUUCCUUUGGGCUUCAUUGAGGACCUUACUCGCAUAGUAGAUAGGAUGAAAUAAUUUCUCCUUUCUCUGUCCAAGAACAGCACCAACGGCUACACCACUAGCAUCACACAUGACUUCGAACGGGAGCGUCCAAUCUGGUGUUACCAUGAUAGGGGCUUCAACGAGUUUUUCUUUAAGGCAUUCAAAUGCCUUUAAGCAAUCAUCAUUAAAGUCAAACUUCGCAUCUUUCUCCAAUAGCUUGCAUAAUGGACUAGAAAUUUUGGAGAAGUCUUUGAUGAAUCUACGAUAAAACCCAGCAUGGCCAAGAAAACUACGAACUCCCUUCACCGAAAUUGGAGGUGGUAGCUUCUCAAUUACCUCUAUUUUGGCGCGAUCAACCUCUAUUCCUUUUUCGGAGAUCUUGUGCCCAAGAACAAUUCCUUCUUUUACCAUGAAGUGGCACUUCUCCCAAUUCAGCACAAGGUUGAACUCUACACAUCUUUGUAAUGCCAUGCUUAAAUUCACCAAACAUGCUUCGAAAGACUCCCCAACAACUGAAAAGUCGUCCAUAAAUACCUCCAAAGUGUCUUCUACCAUAUCAGAGAAAAUAGACAUCAUACAUCGCUGAAAGGUGGCUGGUGCAUUACAUAACCCGAAUGGCAUACGUUUGAAGGCAAACGUACCAUAUGGGCAUGUAAACGUUGUCUUCUCUUGGUCUUCUGGUGCAAUAAAAAUCUGAUUAUAACCUGAAUAACCAUCAAGAAAGCAAAACCAUCCUUUUCCCGCUAAUCGAUCUAGCAUUUGGUCCAUAAAUGGCAUGGGGAAGUGAUCCUUGAGAGUCCAAGAAUUCAGCUUGCGGUAGUCCAUGCAUACUCUCCAUCCAGUGACGGGCCUGAGUGGAAUAAGCUCAUUCUUUGCAUUCGCAACCACCGUCAUACCUCCUUUCUUGGGAACACAUUGUACUGGGCUUACCCAUGUACUAUCAGAAAUAGGAUACACAACUCCUGCGUCUAACCACUUGAUAAUCUCCUUCUUCACCACCUCUUGCAUUGGUGGGUUUAGACGUCUUUGGUGUUCGAUGGUGGGUGUGCACUUUUCUUGGAGCUGAAUUUUAUGAGUGCAAAUUCCAGGUGGAAUACCAAGGAUAUCCGCAAUGGUCCAUCCAAUAGCUCUAAUAUACUUGCGUAAAAUUGCAAUAAGAGCUGCAACUUGUUGCUCACCUAAAUCGGCUGCCACUAUGACUGGAAGAGUGUUUCCGCUUCCUAAGAAUGCAUACUUCAAAUGGCUUGGCAGCUCCUUUAAUUCUAAUGUGGGUGGUUCUUCAAUAGAUGGCUUAGCUGGUGGUGUGGGUCGAUUCUUGAGAUCAAGAUCCAGCUUCUUAGGAGGAUAGCGAUAUGCUCCUAAUCCCGAUAGAGCACAAAUAUCAUCUUCAGAAAUUUCAGCAUCAUCAUCAUCUUCUUCCAUGAGCAAAACCUCCAAAGGAUCAUCAAGAAUUUGUUCUUCAGCAAGUAACUCAUCCUCGUCAUCAACGACAACAUCAGUCACAGAAAAUACACUUAGAUCUUUGGGUUGCUUCAUUGAUUUGCAAACAUCAAAGCGCACCACUUCAUCAUUUAUUCGGAAUGAAAGUUCAUUAGCUCUCAAAUCUAUGAGCACACUUCCCGUAGCAAGGAAAGGGCGUCCCAAGAUUAUGGGAACCUCUGAAUCUGCUUCGCAAUCCAAGAUGACAAAGUCUGCUGGAAAUAUGAAUGAAGAUACCUUCACCAAGACAUCGCAUAGAAUACCAACCGGUCGUUUUACCGACCUAUCCGCCAUAACAAGCUUCAUAUUAGUUGGUGUAGGAUCUCCCAACCCCAACUUCUUGUAGAUUGAUAAUGGCAUCAAGUUGAUGCUGGCUCCUAAGUCACAUAAUGCUUUAGCAAAGUCCAAAGAUCCGACGGUGCAAGGAAUAGUGAAAGCUCCGGGGUCGGCCUUCUUCUGAACUAUGGAUCGGGUAGCUAUUGCACUACAAUGAUGCACAUCUUCUUUCAGCUCAUAGCUUGCUGCCCUCUUCUUAGUCAAAAGAUCUUUCAUAAACUUCGCAUACCCAGGCAUUUGUUCAAGUGCCUCUACCAAUGGGACAUUAAUAGUCAGCUGCUUCAAGAUGGUCAUGAACUUGCUGAACUUAGUGUCAUCGGCCGCCUUCUUCAGUCUUUGUGGAAAAGGUGGUGGUGGGUAUGGAAGUGUUCUUUCCAUGGCUUUCUUCUCCUCUUGCUUCCGUUUAUUACUUUUUUCAGGCUGCACGUCACUAGGCAACACGUCCUUGACGUUGGAAGUGGAUAUUGCGGCGUCUUCCCUAGUGGCGUCACUAGGUGUGGCGGUUGUGUCUGCUGUUCUGUCAACUAUUUGCUUGCCUUCUGCUGAAGUUUCCAGCACCUUACCACUCCUCGUAGUGAUGGCCAUGCAUGACCCAUCAGUCCUUGGAUUUUGCACCGUAUCGCUAGGCAAGGUGCCGGCUUUUCUUUGGUUGAGUGUUGCUGAAAGUUGACUGAAUUGCUGCUCUAGUUGCUUGAUAGAAGUGGAAUGAGAAUCAACUAAUUGCUUCAUGGAGGCCAAAUCGUCAAUCACCUCCUUAACUCCCGCAUUCGUCGCUUCCACUCCUUUCAAUAACUUAGCCAUCAUGUCUUCCAUAGAAUUAGAUGUGGUGGUAUCACGUCUACCAGGGGGAACGUACAAACCACUGUUUUCAUUAUUUUUCUUCCAACUACCUUGGUCUUUACCUCCAGAUUUGUCAUAAUAGUUCCGACCUUGGUUUCCUUGGGCAUUCCCACGGAAACCCCCCUGAUUGUUCAAGUAGUUGGCCUCCUCUUCUGAAUCAGAUUCGUCUCUUCCUUUUGACGCAAUAGAUUUCACUUUUUCAGUCUUCCCUAAUAGAUGCUUUGUAAGAAGAUCCAUUUGGGUUUUCAUGUGCGCCAUAUCUUGAUCACGUUCUUCUUCUCUCCUUCUUUGAUCUGCAGACAUGCCAAUAGAUAAAGUGGGGCUUGCUACCUCAGAAUCCCUGGUAUGCCAAGCUCUACUUUGUUUCGUCAUACGAUCUAGCAUGUUGCUUGCUUGACCAAAGGUGAGGUCCAUAAAAGAACCUCCAGCUGCGUUGUCCACCACUGGUUUAGUUACUGAAUUCAAGGCUCUAUAUAAGAUCUCCAUGAGGUGAACAUUAGUCAUGUGAUGGUUUGGGCAUCUCGCUAGCUUUGUCUUGAACCUCUCCCAUGUUUCGUGAAGAGCUUCAGAGGGAAGCUGACGAAAGUUGCUGAUUUCAUCUCUCAAUUGAGCCCUCUUGGAUGGCGGAAAGAAUCUUUCUAGGAAAGCGUCUCUCAAUUGCCUCCAAUUUGUAAUAGAAUCAGGAGUCAGCCCAUUCAACCAUAAUGUUGCCUCCCCAGACAGAGACAAUGGAAAUAGACGUAAUCGAAUAGCAUUCUGACCAACUCCAGGAUUGUCAAAAGACUUGCAUGUAGAAAUAAAGUUGAUGAGAUGCAUAUUCGGAUCAUCGCCUGCUAGUCCACCAAAUAAUCCCUUGAGUUGCAAUAACUGAAUCAUGGUGCUAGUGAUGUUGAACUUGGCUCCGGGCGCUAAUGGUGGUGGAAUUAUAGCUCCAGUGGCUCCGGCACCAUCAAGAUCAUCAUCAUCAUCGUCGAAAGCUGGUUGCAAAGGUUGGCGAUCAUAUCUGUACCGAGCUUGUCGACCUCGUCUGUUGGUAGGUGUUGCCAUUUCAGCGCCAUGCCUUGGGUUGAUCAACUCGUCAUCUCCUAAAUCUUCAUCGUCAGGAUUUGUUGCUCGUCCAGGAUUAUCAAUGUUUUGUUGUUGGACUUGAGCAGCGGCAAGAGCAGCUAAUCUUGCUUGCUCAUGUUGAGCAGCCAUCCUGUCGAUUUCCGCUUGUGCUUCCAUUCUUCUGAUUCGUUGUGGUUCCGGAUUGAUUGGUAAUAACGGUUGACCAGAACUUCUAGUAUGGGGCAUGCACUAAAAGAAAAACCUGCAAUAAACAAAAACAAAAACUAAACGUAAAAGUACGAGAAUCUUUGACCAAAGGGUCUAGUAAUUUUCACGAACUUGAUUGACACUCGUAUUCCCCGGCAACGGCGCCAAUUUUUGAUAACGCUCAAUCUACAGCUCUCGUGGGAGUGUAAAGCGGUCGUUAGCAAAUAUAGAACCCAACCUGGGUUGGGUAUCGAUCCCACAGAGAAUAGCUUGGCCAACAAGCAAGAAAAAUUACUAGACUUUUAGUGCAAGUCUCGUAGGAAAGGGGGGAUUGUAGUAUGUAACCAAAACAAGAAUGUAAGAACUGAAAAUAGCAAAAUAAAGAGAGAUUGUCACGUGUGUUGUAAACAAUGAGAAUUGAGGCGUUGGGGUUAUGUCCACCUUCUGAGGUAUACGUCUCUAUUGGCUAUGAGUGUGUAGAGUCUUGACAUGUAAUUGCUUAUAGAGAAUUGUAGUCGAUGGUAAAUCCAAGCGUCUCUCGACCUAAACAAGGACUAUUUCACUUUAACUCUCUCGAGCUUAAAGCGUGACUAACGGUACGAAUUCUCCAAGAAGUUAGUCCAGGUACGGCACUAGCUUUUUAAUAGGAAAGGGUGUCCUACUACCUUGACAUUAUCUCUUUUCCAGACAAAUAACUUUUCUCUCGAACAAGUCAGAUGUUAGACUGGCGUUGGUCUAUGCGUCUUCUUUUCUAGACAAAUAACCUUUCUCUCGAACAGGUUAGAUGUUAGAAUGGCGUGUUCUUGUGUUUGAACCGCAAAGAAUGUAGAUUUAAGAUGAAGAGAAUAAUGAUAUAAGCAAUAUACUUGUCUUGAACUCACAAACUCAUAGCUAUAGAUAGUAACUCAUUCGGCUUCCAUAACCCCAACUAAGAGAUUUAGUUACCCAUGAAUGCGAAGGAUAUCACGUUUUGCAUGGUGGAUGGCGUGAAUAGUAGGUGUUUGGCGUGUGGUUUUAGUGAUUCCGUAGCAAGUAACAAUUCUCUUGUUGUGGAAUUUAAGAGUAGAAGAAUGAAGAAUUGAGAAUGGGUUGUAGGAAGAUGUCUUAAUUGUAAGGAGAUGAAUGAAUUGUCAGAAUGUCUCCCUUCUUGAAAAUCUCUAACAUGAUAGGGUAUUUAUAAUACUCCUAUCCUACUCCUACUAAACUAAUAAAAUAAAUAACCAAAUCCUAAUAUACUAAUGAAAUCCUUGACCCAAUUGUACUAGGGUAAGGUUACAAAAUUAUAAUCCAAAUAGAAUGAUGAAACACAUAACCUAAUUGCACUAGGUUAAUGUAUUAUGGCAAAAAUCCAGCUUUGUGUCUGUAAGUCCCAAAGUCUUCAGAAAUGCUGUUUUAGCCCGGGACAGAUUUUCCAUGCAGCAGAUUUAGUCCUUUAUGCGUCCAGCUCCUUUCCAUCUCGUUUGUGAGCUUUCUUUUGCGUCAAGUAAGCCAUAAAUUGCUGUAUUUUGCAUCAUUUAUACCUGAAACUUUCCUAAUCACAUUUGUUAGCUCAUUUACAGGAAAAAGGACUAAAAGUGUACGAAAUAGAUAAUUAGUUCUCGAAACUAGGCUAAAAUAUGGGCAAAAUAUAUUGAUAUAGGCGCGUAAUUUCGCCUAUCAUCAUGCCUUAACCCUUUACUUUGACAAAUAAAAGUCCUUUUAGUAGUGGAUAUUAUAAUUACCCUUCAGGUUAUUCUUCGCAUUUUCGCACUCUUCCAUCGUUUAGAGCAUUCACAUGCACCCCAAGUCAUUUAUGACUUGCAAGAGAUGACAACUCGGUAACCGGGCAAUUCGUAUGAUUUUUAGAGACAAUUCCCUAUUUUGAAAUUUUUGCAAUAAAGGAUUGGUUAUCGGGACUAAACUUUAGGUUAACAAUUUCAUAGGCCAAUUCCGACACGUUGAUUUUAGGCUAGGGGGAUAUUUGACUCAGGUUCCAAGGCUUCUAAAAUUGUUUUGGGCUAUUGGGUGGAUUUUGGUUAAAAUGACCAUUGGUUGUAGGACCUAUGUUUCAUCGAAAUGACCUCAUAUGGAAAAUUUGAUGGCACUAUUGAGUACGGAAUGUCAAAUUUGAUAGGGUAUCAUAGCUUGUUUACGUUUAUGGGUUUCUCAACGAAUCUAUAGGGUGCGUUGGAAACUUGGGAAAAACCAAGUUUUAGUUGAUUCAUGGACUCAGCUAGUGCAUCCACAUAAGAGGACAUAUAACCACUUUAGCAGACAUCGUUUAACAGACAUAUGGUUCGCUUUACUAAAGGUUAGCCUAGGGGAUGGGUAUAUUAAUUGACCAUAUGUCUCUUACGUGAUUGCCGCUUAAGCAGUCAAAUGGUUGCUUAAGCGGCAACCGUAGCACAGUUAUUUCACUCUUUGCCUUUUUGCCUUAUUAUUGAAAGACCCAAGCUCAUUAAAGUCCUAGAGAUUUAGAUAGAGAGGGGUGAUGAUAGUUGGAGAGUCUAGGCGAGUUAGAGAGUGUGUGGGACCAUUUUCUCAUCUUAGUUUUCGAAAGUUUCCGUCAAAUUCCUUGAUUGAUUCUCCAAUUUAACCUUAAAUCUCUAGUUUCUUUAUGGGACAAUUUUAGAUUCCUUUGAGCUCGAAAAUUACUCAUUCUUGAGGGCAAAAUGAUCCCUGAGCCUAGAGGGACAUUUUGAUGAUUUUAAAGUUGUGAUUCCAUAAGUGGGUCCCACAUGAGAUUUUUGACCCGGUGUUGGACCCAAAGCAUUUAUAAGCAAUAUGUGUAUUGUUAUUCUCAUAUUAAUGUGUAGAUUCUUAUUUUAAUAGUGUGGCAUCAUGUGGAGGCUUCUCGAAAGGAAAAUUUUCUAAUUUAGUGAACUUCAUCAGGCAUUCGUUGACGUCCAGGUAGGCUAGGCAUACUUUCCUUGUAGAUUGAAAUUUAUUAUGAUAUUAGUAUGAUAUUUUUCUAGUUUUGGGUUGGAAAUUAUGACUUGGGUGCAUAUCUUGUUUGAUUUAGAAUAUCUAGUUGGUUAGUGAGUCGUAUUUAGGCGGACUUGGCCUAUUCAUCCAUUCCCUUGAUUGAAUUGCGACCUUCGGACCUAGUUUGGCUUAGUUGAGACCUUGUAGCAGGACUUUGAAACCUCUGUCUAGUAUUGGGAUGGAAAUUGGCCUUAUCAUGGACUUUCAGAGUUAGAAGUGGGCCUCGUCGGCCUUCUUUAGGAUAAUGUUAUAAUUAGCUCCUUGUAAACCUAGGAGGCCUCUUUUGUCAUCCUAUAUAUAUUUAUGUUUUAGAGCCUUAGGGUGGUCUAGACAACUUUUCGACUCUUGAGUAGACUUGUACCUUGGAUUUACUUUAAAGAUCGGUCCAAGUCCGGCAAUGGUUACUCUGUUAUGGCCUUAUAUUUAUGGUUUGAGUCUGACAUUUAUGAUACAACCUUUGGUUCAAGUCUGAAACUGAUUGUUACUUAUUAUGUUGAGUAAUCGGUUCUAGUAUGAUGCUUAGGGUGUGUGUUAUGACACGAGACUACCCCCAAGUCGUAACACGGUGCUUAGAGUCACAAGUGACCCCAAGCUAACCCAUGGCCUGGCAUAACUCUAAGAAUACUAAAAGUAACAAAAAUACAAAGCGGAGGCUAGACGGUGAUAAUUGAUGGAAAUUAAAUAAUAAAAAUAUUGUAUAUCAACAAAAAUCUUGAAAUAAACUGUCUGACAACCAAUUAUGCUUAAAACUAAACAUUUCACUGAAAGACUCUAAAACGUGAUGAGUCAUUCGUACAAACCCCCAACUAACUCCAACUAACUGAUAUGAAAUAGACUAAAAAACUAAAUAACUGAUAUCUAGCCCUCACAUGAUGAGGACUCACCAAAACUGUGGCUGGAUGAGGCGCGGAACGAGCUAAGUGUGAUGUGAGUACUGAGCGUUUGAACCUAUAUUAUGAGAUAAUAUAGCAGGAAAGUAUGCGAUCAAUACUUUGAAUGUAUUGAGUUUGAGAGAUGGGAAACUAACUAGUCAAUCCAAACAUGAAUGCAUAAAAUAUGAUAAGUUGAAUACAAGACCAAGUAUGUUCAUAUGUUGUGUAAAACUGCCUAUUUGAAUAACUAAAAACAAGGUCAUGCAUAUCUGAUCGGAAACAUAAGAAGAACAUAAACUGAGUAUUGUGGGAGCUAACAAUAACUGAAAUACCCCAAUCUGAGUAAAUCAGGGUCCAACCUAAAACUCCAGUUGGAUGGGUGCUAGUACCUUCCUAAGGGUACCAACACUGGCUGGUGUGGAUCUACUAAACUGAUGUCCCAGAGGACUAGAGUGGUCCUAAUUGACAGGAGACCCCUCAUAAGCUACGGUGGUACCAUAGUUUUGGAAGUAGGGGCUGCUACUAAAGGUCUCAGUCCUAACUGAUGGGAAAGCCUCCAUUCUGUGUUCACUCGGUGCUAAGUACCACUCCCAACUAAACGACACUGAAAAUUGAUAUAUAUGCUCAAAAUAGUAAGAUUAUUAAAAAUAACAACAUAUGCAAAAUCUGAAGUGCUAAAACAUGUCAAUUGAUACAUACAUGAAAUCUUAGUUAUCGGAUGUUCAUAACCUACCAGCUCUGACUAAUGCAACUGAACAUGAUGAUAUAAAAAAGUGGAUCAUAAUAGGGAAUUUCAUAUUUUAAGACAAAACUCGAUCAUUUAUCAAAUACGAGGGAAACUAUGAUCCUGAGAAAGAGAAGAUCUUACUCAUAUAGGAAAACAGGUACUCGUGAUUCAAUUAUAAGAACAACUGAAGAAAUUAAGGAAAACUCAAAUUUGACUAGGAACCUAACUUGGAGGGAAAUUAAACUUAGGAUUUAGAAAUCUUUGGGACUUAAUGGGUUGAAGGAACCCAUUGAUGAAAUUCCACAUACCUGGAGAUAGGAAGCCUUGUAGAGAUUUUUUGGAAUUUGAACUUGAGGUUGAGGAACCCUAACUUGCUACUGGAGAAAAAAAAAUUGCCCUGUCUUUCUACGUUUAUAACGCUCAACUUACAUGUCAAUUUAAGUGCAAGGCGAUUGUUGUCCAUAUAAUUAUCCAACUAUGAGUCAGGGUCGAAUCCUUGAGGAACAAUGUGAGUGGCGAUUUAAAUAAGUUCGAAAUUGAAAUUUCUUGCUAAACUCAAACUUAAGAUACAAGUAAUUAGGGGAUUUUAGAUGUUUCGAAGAUAUGAUUACUAUUCGACUUCUAAAGGACUAACUCGGGCUAUGAAUAAUUAGUGUAUAAUCAAUUAGAGAUGAACCUUGGGAUUCUGCUUUCCUAGAUGCAACUUAUGCAUGGGAGCAUGAUGAUUCAGUGCAAAUUCUAAUCAUUAGUGAUGUGGUAGGCUAGGUUGAAAAUCCUUAAGGCUAGUUUGUCAACAAAGCCUCAAAGAUGUCAUGCAUUAGCCCUUUUGAGUACCUAAGGAGUAUGUCAAUUAAAGCCAUACAACGCCUUAAUUGGGUAUCCUAUUUCUAGGAUGAUACCUAAGGUACAGUCAACCUCGUAAUCACCCUCAUAUAUAAAAUAGUGAAAGUUAGCUGACUAUACCCAUUAAUUGUCUACUAUUGCCUUGGUUCCCGCAGACCUCUUUUAAGGAUGAUGAAGGUUCCAAAAGUUCACCUAAACUCCUCUUUCAAGGAUAGUUUGAGCUUUCAAGAGCUUAGGAUUUUCACCUACAAACCUAUGUGGGUAUUUGAGUCUUUCACCCACAAAUCCCAACCAAUUUAGUCAAGCAAUAGUAGAACCUAUCAUCAACAAAACUAGCAUAUACACAAAUGAAUCACAACCCACACAUAAUUUGCACCCUAUUGUAACAUAAUCAUAACAGGAAGAACUAGCUACACAUAAGGUUAAUAAGCAAGAUAUACUGAAAAAAACUCCAUCAAAUUGAUAUUUUGAAAGAUAAAGAGAAUAUAAAUCCCAAGCUUUAGGGUUCAACAAAUCUUCAAUAGAAAUUGUCAAUUCUCCACUUGAAAUCUACUCUAAUGUAAUAUUCACCCAAAAAUUAGUACAAUAGUUGUCUUUUAAAAAUUACAAACUAGAAUGAGGAUCAUAGUCCCCAAAAAUUCAGAAUCCCCUAUAUCUGAUAGGGUUUGAACUUCUUAAGGGAAUUUAGGAUAAACAUGUGAAUUUACAAAUCUGUGAUUGGGUUGUUUCCCGCUAGGCCGCGAUCGCAGGAGCUGGUACGUGAUUGCGGCUAUCGCAAUCGUGGUCAAAACUUGCGAUUAAAAUAUAUUGACCUGUCUUGACUGGCUGUAAUCGCGGUAACCGAGGCCUGUUUCUGCUCCAGGUUUUCCAGCUGGACUUCUUUUCUCUCUUUUGAUCCUUUUUAAUUCAAGUUCACAUUUUUUCAUCUCAUAACCUGUAUGCCUACAAAAUAUGGAUAUUAGUGCAUUUAAUCAUACAUAUGUCUCUUUUAUACCUUUAAAUCAUAGUAAUGUACACCAAUGUUGAGUGUAAAUGAUUGGUAAAUUAAUUACUCAUCAACACCCCCAACUUAAAGCUUUGCUUGUCCUCAAGCCAUACUACAUCUUACCAUGAGACUAUGCAUAUUUUGCCCAAAUUUAAUGAUCCAAUGAUCACAAUGACUUCAAGCUCAGUUACUACCAUAUGUAGCUCUUCAAACCUGUGCAAAGUUAUUCUCCCAACACCCCUCAACAUAAAAUGCAAUAUCCAAGGAUGUAAAAGACUUCAAAGAGAAACCAUGAAAAAAUCACUGAUACUCUAGAAGUGAAUCGACUUUGAACUCAAUAUCAACAUACUCUUUUUGCCUCAUUUUUCUGGGAAAUGACUAAAUCACCUACCUCAACUUGGUUACAUGCCUCCUCACAAGGAGGAAAAUUCCAUAUACCAAGUUAUCAAAUAUGCAGUAAGGAAUUUAAAUGCAAAACUCUCUCUCAAGAACUCUUGAUGCUAAAAAGUACCAUGCCAUAGGCUUGCCCUUAUUUUCAAUUGCCACUACAAUGAAAAUACUUUGUUAGAAAUCACGAAGGGUUUUUUGAGCUUGUAACGUAGGUUCGAGGUAGGGUAGGAUAUCAUUUAGGAACAAUAAGGAUAUACCCUUCUUGAACAUAUACAUCACACUAUUCCAUCCAACUUUUGAUCAAGGGUCAUUUCUUUGUGAAUUCACUUUUUACAUAUGUGCCUACUUUUAUUUCCUUAGUCCACCCAUUUUCUUUUCAUUUCUUUUUCUUUCUCCCUUUGUGCUACUCUUUCCUUUGUUGGAUUUUUUUUCUUAUUUAUUUGCACUCAAUGCUUAAGACCAUAGGCACUCACUUAAAACUUCGUGGCCUGAAGUUACCUCGUCUAAUCAUCACUACCCCAAUCUUAGGCUUUUAGCCUCAAGUUGGAAUUUUAAGCUCAAUGAGGGUAGGGUUCAAAAGAGGGAUAAGAAUUGCAGGCUCGCGGCUUACAAUGUGUUUUCCAAAGAAAAGUCCAAAGGUUCAAAGUGGGUGACUAGGGAUUACGACUAUGCAAAGGUAGGAUUUUUAAGCUAAAGUGGACUUCCUAUGUCACAAAGAUGGUCUAAGAUCAUCUUACCAACCAAGUACAAUCAAAAUUAGCAUUGAAAUUCUAAUGGGGAAAGUUCUAGAUGGUACAAGUACACAUAAGAUUUGAACAAAUAAGCUCGCCACACAUGGCAUGUAAACCAUAUGGUUACUCAGACUUUGCCAUAGGUACAAGUGCGAUCCCAAAUCCAAAAUUCCACAGGUACUCAGAUUUCCCUUGUAUUUAUAACCAUGAUAAUAUGGGUACUGAGACUUCCCUGCAUCCACGACUCAAAACCUAAUCACGAUGCUUUUCCCUUAAGAAUGUCAUCACUCAAUCUAUCAUAGAGAAAAUCUCGUCCAAUAUUAUCACAACCAAAAUAAAGAUAAAGUAAAAUAGAAAAGCUAAAAACAAACCAAAUAACUAAUCCAUAAAAUGUGGGCACCUUCAGAGUGCCCAAAUAAUGCAGCCCAAAAAUAAAAAUCAUCCACAAUGUCAUCAAAACAUCUAUAAAAUAGCUAAAUAAUACAAAUCGGGGGACCGACACCCCCAAAUGAAAAUAUUGUAGUGUCCUCACUACCUAAACAAUAAAUCUAGAUAAAUGGAUGCUCCCUGAAUCUGCAUCAAGAGGUGCUAUCUCCUGCUGACUUUACACCAUCAUUACCAGUAUCAGAACCUGACCACUCAGUAGGGGUCUCAUCAUUACUCUCUACUCUGGGAGAGGGUAGUCUGUCAUGGGGUUUCAAGACCUUCCACAAGCCCUUGACCCUGUUCCAUAUCUUGCUGAAGAACUUGUCUUUCUUCUUAUCCCUCUUUUUCAUCUUCUAGUGGGAGGCCCGAAGCUCCUUGUGAGACUCCGUCAGUGUUGAAUAUGCUCUCUCGAGCCUAGCAACAGUGGCUCCUUGCGUCUGCUGCUCCUUCUAAUACUUCUCAUAAUCUGAGUGGGAUACACAAAAGUAAUGCUAGAUGGAGGGCUCUCCCGGCCCCUGAGGCAAUCUUAAUACCAGUUCCUUGAUGACCCUAAUAUCCACAUCAAUAUCUUUUAGGGGCCUAGCAAUGGAUGGUCUGCACGACUCUAACUCCUCAACUGUCGACGUGCCCAAGUCAAUCUUUUUCAUUUUUCUUUUGUCAGGUGUACCCUCACCCCAAAUCUUUAAUGGGUAAAUUGGGGUCCCAAGGCAUACCCAAGUGUUAUCCGGGUAUUCUACCACCCCUACUCUCCUACAUAACUCAGUAAUAAGAGAAGGGAAUAAGAUAUGUGUACCACUAUAGUUCCUGUAGAACUUCAUAUCAUAUAUCACCAGACGACCAACAUUCAGAGGAAUAUUGUCCAGUAUAUAGGAAACUAUGUGGGCACACAUAUCUGUAACUAUAGCCAUGUGCGUUCAAGGAGAGAUCCGGCUAUGGAUGAUGUUCAGCCAUAUCCGAGCCUCAGUUGUGAAGUCAUUCAUGGAGAUGCCACUUAUUGUUGCCGCCCAUGGAACCUCCUUACCCGGGUACAGCUUCUCUGUCAUCCAGCUACUCAGCUUACACCCCUUAGCCUUAAAAGCAGCCAUGUCUACAUCCUAAAGGCCAUAUAAAUCAUUGACCUACUCCACUACAAAAUGCACAUUCACCCCUUGGAUCCUUAUAACUAGGGUUAUAAAAGAUACUAUGCUAAGAUUAGCAUAGAACUCUCGCACCCAUUGCUCGUUUUCCCUGCAUGGGUCUGGGGGAAAACAACUCCAUUUGGCGGCCAUGAGUCAAGAAUGAAAUGCUAGAAUCUUUUCCGACACUCUUUCCAAGGAUAUACCCCUUUUUGGGAGAAGCAUAGUCCUUGGAAAUUCAUUGUAGUAUUAGUUGUGGCAUUCAAGAGUCAUGAACCAGAUUUGGUCAUAGUUCUCUAUAAUGGUAACCUGCAAAACAUGAGGACAAUACAAAAUCAUUCAUCAUCAAUAUUUUUUAUGAAUAUACUACACUAUAUUGUCCGCUAAAUUUCAUAGGAUGGGUACUUGGUGGUGUUUGAAUAAAAAUUUAAACUGCAGGAAUUUUGACCUAGGCUAAAAUUCAGUCUCAAUUAUAGCAAUCAUGUUAGCUUGUCCGCAAUUGUGGCUACCACGAUUGCAACUACAAGUCAGCGAUCGCGUGUGCUACGAUCGCGGGCCCGAUGGCCACGAUUGUGGUACCAGAGACCAGACCAUGCUAGUUUUUUCACCAGUUUAACAAUCCAUUUUUGGGGACAAAAUGCCCUCCAAAAUAAUAAUCAAUCAUUAAUAACAUGAAAUAUGUGUUCUAAGUGUUCGAUCAUACCUCCAAAUGUGAAAAUAACUAGUUAUUGACUCAUUUGGGCAAUUGAUCGGCCACUUGGUGUGCACCCUAUAUUUUACUCAAAUUCACACAAUUUUGGGUAUUCAAGACUUCCCCACAUAUGUGCAAUCCCUAUCUAAAAGCUAAUCACCACACAAGUACUAUUCAAUAUUUAUUUAGUAAUGAAAAACAUAAUUUUAGGCCUACCUAGUUCAUGCACUCAAAGGCUUACUCUCAUAAUUAAAAACAUAAAUUUGAUGUACUUACCGAAUGAGUGAUGUUGAGUGGAUACAAAGAUGCUUUUGAAAUGCUCAAAAUAUUGCCACAAACGGGUAUAAUUUAAGAGAAAAGUUGGAGGGGAAAUGUGGGAGAAAUGAAAGAUCGUUGGUCUUUUAAAUUUGAUCGGACCGCAAUCACAGCCAAAGUUAUAUGAUCGUGGACACAGGGGUGAAUGCGAUCGAGGCUCAGAGCCCGCGAUCACGAUAACGGAGGGCAUUUUCGAACCUCUAUUUUCCCCUUUUCAAUCCACCAUACAAACAUCCCAUAUUUUCCCUUUUUGAUUCAUUAUAUACACUUCAAAGAGCCAUAAAUGUAUGGAUUAAUCAAUGGCAAAAUUUAAAAUUUACACUAUCAAAUUUAAAAAAAAAUACAGGGCGACUUUUAUGGCGUGAUAGGGCAUCUCCUAUCAAACGCUUAGUUUAACAUCGUGGAACAAUGCCUUUCAACUACCACUUGUUUUUCUAUUUGAAUAUCCGUCCUAACUUUAACUCACUAUGAAUUAAGUGGAAGGCGGACAGAAGAUUUAGAUCUUCCAAGAUGAAAUAUGAUAGAAAGGAGGACAGGGCGAUGUGGCUUCUAUCUUGCCACUUUGCAGACUUGAACCUUUUACCCAAUUUCAUAUCAAAUUUCUGAUUAGGCUCCUUGGGUAAUGGUGGAAACAUCAAUAAGCCGCCAGUUGAACAUCAGAAGUUGAGCUCAUUGGCCUUCGAGUGCGAGGUUCUCAUGUGCUCUUUUGGAAUGUCAAACUUUAAAUUAUAGGGAUGGUACUCCUUCUCCCCAAAAUCCAUCAUUUGCUUAGGUAGGUGGACUCUCAUCACACCCACUAGGCAUAAUGUUGAAAAAUGGUUCGAGUGAGCUUUAUACCUAAAUUCCAAAAUCGCAUCCCAAUUAGAAUCCUUACCCCGAAUUGGACUAGAGUUUUCACAAGAGAUUAGCUUGGGUUUCUUCUUUUGACUCUAGCACCAUUUACUCAAUUUUGGAAUCUUCAACUAUAUUAGGUUAGGUUUGUUGGAAAAUCACCGAGGACUCUUCGCUACAGAGCUCAUCAUUUGCUAUAUAUCUUGGUCUCUCUUCUAGAUUAUCUCAUGUUAAAAAGUGGGUAAGGUAAUGGUAUUUGAAGGGUUUGUUUCCUUGCCCAUUUCCUCUAUCUUGAUAAUCUCCCUUCAAAAUGCCUUACUAGAUUGAUGCAAGUGGUGCACGUCCUCCUCUAUUUAAGUUAACCUAUCUAAAAGAGUUUGAAGCAUUGCUUCAACACCAUUGUAUCCGGCAUGUUGUUCUUCUUUUUCCACAUCAUGCAACUUAUCAAACUCAUAAGAAAAACUAGCAUUUUUGUUAGCAUAACUAGGGGAGGGAGCAUUUGGAAAAUCACUCCAAUAUCCAUCUCGAACACUACAUAAAGAACAAUCAUACUCCCAAUAGGAUCGAGAUGGUAUCUCCAUCUCUCUUUGGGAAACAUAUCUACAAUCUUGUCGAAAGUGGGGUCCGUCACAAUAUGGACGUGGAUCAUCAAGAUAGGAUAUCCAACUACCAAAAUCAUAAUCAUCCCAAGAUGCCAUAGUGACUAGUAAAAAAAAUCAAAAUCUACCUAACACAAGAAAUAAAAGAAAAUCACAAACAAAUAUUUACAUGUUUGAAUCCAAGCAAGUAGGCUAAAAUUUCAAACUAACAAAAUAUGACAAAUUGUUCCCCGGCAAUGGUAUCAUUUUUGAUAACGCUCAACUUAUACGUCAAUUUAAGUGUAACUCAAUUGUCGUCCAUAAUUUUAUCCAACUAUGAGUCGGGGUCAAAUCCUUGAGGAACAAUGUGAGUGGCGAUUUAAAUAAGUUUAAAAUUAAAAUUGCUUGCUAAACUCAAACUUAAGAUACAAGUGGGGGAUUUUAGAUGUUUCAAAGAUAUGAUUACUAUUCGACUUAUAAAGUACUAACUCGGGCUACGAAUAAUUAGAGUAUAAUUAAUUAGAGACGAAUCUUGGGAUUUUGCUUUCCUAGAGGCAAAUUAUGCAUGGGAGCUGAUGAUUCGGUGCAAAUUCUAAUCAUUAGUGAUGUGGCAGGCUAGGUUGAAAAUCCUUAAGGUUAGUUUGUCAACAUAGCCUCAAAGAUGUCAUGCACUAACCCUUUUGAGUACCUAAGGAGUGUGUCAAUUAAAUCCACCCAAUGCCUCAAUUGGGUAUCCUAUUUCUAGGAUGAUACCUAAGGUAUAGUCAAUCUCGUAAUCACCCUCAUGUAUAAAAUAGUGAAAGUUAGCUGACUAUACUCAUUAAUUGUCUACUAUUGCCUUGGUUCCCGCAUCCCUCUUUGAAGGAUGAUGAGGGUUCUUAAAGUUCACCUAAACCCCUCUUUCAAGGAUAGUUUGAGCUUUCAAGAGCUUAGGAUUUUCUCCCACAAACCUAUAUGGGUAUUUGGGUCUUUCACCACAAAUCCCAACCAAUUUAAUCAAACAAUAGUAGAACCUAUCAUCAAUAAAACUAGCAUAUACACAAAUGAAUCACAACUUACACAUAAUUUGCACCCUAUUCUAACAAAAUCAUAACAGGAAGAACUAACUACACAUAAGGUUAAUAAGUAAGAUAUACCCAAAAAUCUCCAUCAAUUUGAAUUAUUGAAAGACAAAGAGAAUGCAAAUCGCAAGCUUUAAGGUUCAACAAAUCUUGAAUCGAAAUUGCCAAUUCUCAACUUGAAAGCUACUCUAAUGUAAUAUUCCCCCAAAAAUUAAUACAAUAGUUGUCUUUUCAAAAUUAGAAACUAGAAUGUGGAUAAUAGUCCCAAAAAAUUUUAGAUCCCCUUUAUGAGAUAGGGUUACUUCCUAAGGGAAUUUGGGACGAACGUGUGAAUUUAUAGAUCUGCCCUUGGGCUAUAUUCUCGCUAGGCCACAAUCGUGGAAGCUAGUCCACGAUCACGGAUAUUACGACCGCGGUCUAAACUUGCGAUCGCGGUAUAUUGACCUAUCUUGAUAUGUCGUGAUCAUAGGCCUUAGAACACAAUCGCGGUAACUGAGACCUAUUUCUGCUCCAAGUCUUCCAUCUGCACUUCUUUUCUCUCUUUUGAUCCUUUUUAGUUCAAGUCUACAUCUUUCCAUCUCAUAACAUGUAUGCCGGUAAAAUGUGGAUAUUAUUCCAUUUAAUCACACAUAUGUCUCAUUUAUACAUUUAAAUCAUGGUGAUGUACACCAAUGUUGAGCGUAAAUGAGUGGUAAAUUCACCACUCCUCCUAAGUGUUGAAUGAUUUUGAGUUUAUAAGGCGUUAGGGUAGUACUAACCCACAAUAACUGGUCUUGGAGUGUCCAAACAAUUUGGGUUUAGGGGUUAAAAGAAUGGGAAAAUACUAAACAACCCUUUUUAAAAUAUGCAAAAAUUUCUAGGAACAGUCACCACGACUCGGGUAACUACUGGUUACGAGUCGUGGUAUAAAUCUAGACUGGAGGACCUGAGUUCAGAGUCCUUUCUGUUAUGUCAAUGACUCCUCUCUUAGCGACUCAUUAGGUAUGAUAACAAGUUGUUAUGAAGGUUCAUUUCUAAAGGCUAAGUCCUUGGUUUCUCAAUAGUGUGACUAUGGGUCCACACACAUCAAGUCAUUUAGUCUGACAAUGAGUCGUGUGUUGGACUCGUUGCCACCAGUCUGAAUUUCUUGGUCACUUAUUGCCAUGACAACGAGUUUAGGCUAUGACUCAUUGUAUCUGAGAAUGGGUAGUUGCUACUAGCAGUUUGAUGGGGCCUUAGGAAAUUUUCCACAACUUUUUACUACGACCUCAGAUUAAAGUGAGAUUAGAGACUUUGGAAAUCUUAUUUAAUGGCCUAUCUUUUGGUGGGUCUAGAGCUGAAAAUUUUGGGGUAUUAUAAUAUCUCCACAUUGGGAUCCUUUGUCUCCAAAUGAAAUUGAUUAAGCUGGAGCACUUGGGGAAAAGCUAAGAUUUUGCACGGAACACUUACGAGUUGAACUAUAAACUGAUAUCUGAUUCUGUGACUGAUGCAUAGACUAAACCGAACUCAUGAAUACAUGCUAUGCCAUGAAAAUAGCUGAUGAACUCAGAUAGAAAUGACAAAAUUAAUUAAUUAAGGGAAACUAUUACUCAAGAUAGAACUGGGUUCGAAGAGAAAAGAUAGGGGUACUUGGUCAUCAUAUUUACCUCUAUUUCCUAAGUUGCUCUCUCAAUUGACUGAUUUCUCCAUGGAACCUUUACCAAGGCAACCUCUUUAUUCCUCAGCCUACAGAUAUGACGAUCAAGGAUCUCAACUGGGACUUCUUCAUAAGAAAGUUUAUUUUCCAUGCCAACCCUUUCUAAAAGGACUACUAAGGCUAGACGACUACUGUAUUUCUUCAUCAAAGAGACAUGGAAAACUGUAUGCACUGAUGCCAACUCUGUAGGCAAUUCCAACUCAUAGGCCACCUUACCAUACUUACUCAAAAUUCUUUAAGGACCAACAAAACAGGGAGUAAGCUUCCUUUUCAUACCAAAUCUAUUCACCACUUUCAUGGGAGAAAUCUUAAAGUAGAUAAAAUUGCUAAUAUCAUACUCAAGCUCCAUCCUCCUCUCAUCGGGGUAUGACUUUUGAAAACUCUGAGCAAUUUUCAGCCUUUCUCUAAUUAGUUGAACCUUUUCCAUUACCUCAUGUAUAGAAUAUGGCCCUUUCAAAGUAGUUUCACCAACUUCAAACCAUCCAAUAGGAGAUCUACACCUCUUACCAUAAAGAACCUUAAACGGGGCCAUCUAAAUAUUGGAGUGAUAACUACUAUUAUAAUCAAACUCAAUCAAAGGCAAGUGAUCAUCCCAACUACCCUUGAAAUCAAUCACACACGCCCUUAACAUAUCUUCUAAGGUCUGAAUAGUCCUCUUUGCCUAACCAUAUAUUUGUGGGUGAAAAGUCAUACUAAGAAACACUUGGGUACCAAGACCCUUCUGAAAAGUCUUCCAAAAUCAAGAGGUAAACUGGGUACCUCUAUCUGAAAUAAUGGUCAAAGGGACUCCAUGCAUUUUCACCAACUCCAUAAGAUAGAGUCUAGCACAGUCCUCAGUUGAAUUUGAAGUAUUUACUGGCAAGAAAUGAGUUGACUUAGUCAUUCAGUCCAUUAUAACCCAAAUAGAAUCAUGUUGUCGACGAGUACGAGGCAACCCUAUUACGAAGUUCAUAUUUACCACUUACCACUUCCAAGUAAGAAUACUAAAUUCCUGAAGUAUACCACUAGGCCUCUGGUUCUCUACUUUAACUUGCUGGCAAUUUGGACACUUAGCCACAAAUUUUGCGAUAUCUUUAUUCAUGCCAUUUCACCAAUAGACUUCCCGCAAGUCAAGGUACAUCUUAGUAGCUCCUAAGUAAAUAGAAUAUCGAGAACCGUGAGCUUCGCUGCUAUCUUUUGCCUAAAACCAUCCAUAUCUGGAACACAUAAUUUGCCAUGACAACAAAGGACACCAUCUCCCCUUUGGGAGAAAACCUCUACCUUCUAAUUCUAAACCACCUUUUUCAACUUUUCCAAAAUGGGAUCUCUAUCCUUCUUCUUCUUUACUUCAGCUACCAAAGAAGAUUCUAAACCAUUUUAAAGCCAAAUAGUACCUUCAGUUGAAUUAACCUCCCAACCUAGAAAGUUGAUGAACCUCAAAAACUAACUCUUACAUAUCAUCCUCCACGUGAUCAAAACUCCUCAUAGACAAUCUGCGCCAGCCACAACAUUGUUCUUACCCGGAUGGUACAAUACACUCAUAUCAUAGUCUUUCAAUAACUUAAGCCACCUUAUCUAACAAAGAUUUAGAUCCUUCUAGUUGAACACAUACUAAAGACUCUUGUGAUCAGUGAAGACAUCAACAUGAACCCCAUAAAGAUAAUUCUUCAAAAUCUUCAAGGCAAACACGACUUCCGUCAACUCAAGAUCAUGAGUUUGGUAGUUCCUCUUAUGAGGAUUGAGUUACCUAGAGGCAUAUGUAAUAACCUUGCCCCGCUGCAUCAAAAUACAACAAAGUUCAACUUUAGAAGCAUCACAAUAAACCACAAUACCAUUUGAACCCUUUGGUAGAGUAAAAACUAGAGUGGACAUAAGUCAAGUCUUCAACUCAUGAAAAUUCUUCUCGCAAGAAUCGUACCACUAGAAUUUGAACUUUUUCUGAGUCAGCUUGGACAUGGGAGAAGCAAUAGAGGAAAAUACUUUGAAAAACCAUUGGUAGUAACCAGCUAAACCCAAGAAAUCCUGAGAUCUGAUGGAGAUAUAUUUCUAGGCCAGUUUCUUACUACUUUGGUCUUUUGAGGAUCAACUCGAAUACCUUUUUUGAAAAUGAUAUGACCAAGGAAUGCUAAUGAUUUUAACCAGAUGUCACACUUAAUUAACUUAGUGAAUAACUUGUGAUCUUUAAGAGUCUAUAAGACAAUCAUCAAAUGAUCUUCAUGUUCACCAAUACUUCAAGAAUAAAUGAAGAUGUCAUCUAUAAAGACUAUUACGAACAUGUCCAAGUACUGCUUGAACACCCUGUUCAUCAAGUCCUUAAAAGAUGUAGGAGCAUUCGUUAGUCCAAAUACAUAACUACAAAUUCAAAGUUACCAUACCGAGUUUCUAAAGGUUGUUUUCGACAUGUCACAUUCUGUGACUCUAAGCUGAUGAUAAUCGGAUCUGAGGUCUAUCUUAGAAAAACAAUUAGCACCUUAAAGUUGGUGAACAAAACAUCAAUCUUGGGGAUGGAUACUUAUUCUUGAUAGUGACUUUGUUCAAUUAAUGGUAGUCAACGCACAUUCUGAGAGAACCUCCUUUCUUAUGCACCAAAAGAACUAGAGCACCCUAUGAAGAGACACUCGGCAUAAUGAAAGCCUUAUAUAUAAGGUUUUUUAACUAUUCUUGCAAUUUUUUAAGCUUGGUUGAAGCUAUUCUAUAAGGUGGAAUUGAAAUAGGUUGGGUAUUUGGAAGAAGAUCUACUCCAAAGCUAAUUUCCUGCUCGAGAAGGACUCCGAGAUGAUCUUAAGUGAAUACUUCUAGAAAUUCAUUUACUACAAAAAUUGACUAAAGACUUAGGAUUUUGGAACUUGAGUCCUUGACUCAAACAAGAUGAUAGAUACACCCUUUAGAAAUUAUUUUUCUCGCCAUGAGGAAAGAGACAAACUGACUUAUAGGCACUGAUGUACUACCUUCCACUCUAAGACUGACUCAUUUGGAAAUUAAAACUGAACUACUCUAUUUCUACAAUCAACUGAGGCAUAGCAAGAAUGGAGCCAAUCUAUGUCAAUAAUAAUAUCAAAGUUGAUCAUGUAUAACUCUAUGAGAUCAACUGAAGUGACUUUUUAGGAUACUGUGACUGGCAAUAGUUAUAUACCUAUCUGACUAUGAUUGAACAACCAACUAGAGUAGAAACUGAGAAGGGUUCUGCUAGGAUUUUGGGACUGACACCAAAAUCUACUACUAUAAAGAGAGUCGCGAAGAAAAGUGUGUCUCCAGGAUCUAAUAAUGCAAAAACAUAAAGGUGAAAGACUUGUAACGUACCAGUAACCAUAUUAAGAGAACCCUCUUAAUUUUGUCGAGUCUAAAGGGCAUAAAACCUACCCUAAUGUUGUCUAAUAAUUUCACUGGAGGUGGCACCCUACUGAGUUAGGCAACCUGCUAGAACUGCUGAAGAAUUAGAAUGACUUUGCUGAUGAAUAUUUUUACCCCUCUACGCAGUCAUUGGAUAUUCUAUAAUUCUAUGGCCUGACUUGCCAUACCUAAAUCAAGCAUCACUAUUUACCAUGUAUUCACUCUUGUGAUUCCUACUACAUCUCUUGAAAACUGGGUUGGUACGAAUACUAUUUACAUUACCCUUAGACUUAAAGCCUGGCACUCUAUCUCAAGUAUCCUGUCUGAACUUGGGAACUGGGCACUAGCAGAAAAUAGGGAUGGAACUAAAGAUUUCUAGCAGAACUGGGAGCGAUUUCCACCAUCCGAGCUUUGUUGGGAGAAAUUGAAGCUACCAAUAUUGGCCUUCUUAUUCUCCAUUUCCCUCUCUUUGUUCUUAUCAUCUUCGAUCUAUUGGGCAUGAACCAUCAAUAGGGAGGUAUCCAUAUCCUUAACCAACAUGGUCGUCUUACACUUCUUGACUAUAUUCCAAAAACACCAGACACAAACUUACUCAUUUGGGACCUAGAAUCAGCCACCAUAGUCGAAGCAUACCUCACCAACUAAUUAAACUUGAGUGAAUAAACCUUCACACUCAUGUUUCCCUACUUCAAGUUUAUAAAUUCCUACACCUUGGCUUCUUUUAAAUUAAGUAGGAAGAGUCUAUCCAGAAAUGUAGUAACAAACUCAAGCCAUUCUACUAGACCUGCAUCUGCAUCUCUAUCCUCCUUCUACUGCUUAUACCAUGUGUGAUCCACUCCUGCAAUAGAUAGGCAGCUAAAUUAGAACUUUCACUAGAAGUGACACCCAUGAUUGCAGUCACUUUUUGAAUACUAUCCAGGAACUUUUAUGGAUCCUCUUUAAAUUUUGACCCAAAAAAUAUUAGAGAAUUUAUCUGAGUGAAGUCCCAAAUUAUAGUUGUUGCCGUACUCACAACUGGGUUAGCUGGGGCGAUAACCUGCUAGUUACUCUGGGCUUUCAUAGCUUGGGUUAAUAUCGUGAAGGAAACCCUGAACUCAACAUGAGAGACCUGAUCAUUUAGAGGGUUUUUAGGAACUGGCAGUGGUGCUUGUUGGUUCUCUUGGUAGGCAUUUUCUAUAAAUAGAAAGAGGAUUAGUUUGAAGGACAAUCUUAAUAUAUUUCACACUCUAUCAUCCGAUAUGAAUCAUAAAAGAAGUGAGACUUUUCUAAAAUAUUUCAUAGCCUCUCACCUAUAAGUAUAGCACGUUUCACACCCAUGAAUGAGACUCUCCCAACUUUUAGACACCCUAGGACACUUUAAACUUGCUGCUCUGAUACCAAAUUUGUCAUGACCUGAGAGUUCCCCUAGUCUUAAUGCGGUGCUGAGAGUUACAAGUGACCUCAAGCUAACCCAUGGCCUACCAUAAGUCUAAGAAUAUUGAAAAAAUAACAAUAAUAUUAGGUGAAGGCUAAACAGAGGUAACAGAUGGAAAUAAAAUAAUAAAAACACUGGAUAUCAAACAAAAUCUAGAAAUAAACUGUCUGACAACCAACUAUGCUGAAAACUAAACAUUUGACUGAAAGGCUCUAAAAUAUGAUAAGUUGUUGGGAAAACACCCCAACCAACUCCAACUAACUGAUAUGAAAUACACUAAAAGAAAAUAAAUAACUAAUAUCUAGCCCUCGUAUGAUGAGAACUCACUAAAAUAGUUGCUGGAUGAGGCACGAAAUAUGCUAAGUGCGAUCCGGGUACUAUGCAUUCGAAGCUAUAUUAUGAAACAAUAUAGUGUAGAAAAGUAUGUGAUCAGUACUUUGAAUGUACUGAGAAUGUGAGAUGGGAACCUAACUAGUCAAUCCAAACAUGAAUGCAUGAAACAUGAUAAGUUGAAUGCAAGACCAAGUAUGUUCAUGUACUAAAACAUGAUAAGUUGAAUGCAAGACCAAGUAUGUUCAUGUACUAUGUAAUACUGUAUAUCUGAAUAAUUGAAUACAAGGUCAUGCAUAUCUGAACUAAACAUAAGUUGAACAUAAAUUGAGGAUUGUGGGAGCUAAUAACAACUGACAUACCCCCAAUAUGAGCAAAUCAGGGUCCAACCUAUAACCUCAAUUAGAAGGGUGCUAGUACCUUGCCAAGGGUACUAACACUAGUUGGCAUGGAUCCACUAAACUAAUAUGCCAGAGAACUAGCGUGCCAGUCUUAACUGGCGGAUAAACCCUCAUAACCUAUGGUGACACCAUAGUUCUGGAACUUAGGGACUCCUACUAAAGAUCUCAGUCCUAACAGAUGGGUGAGCCUUCAUCCCUACAUUCACUAGGUGCUAAGUACCACUCCCAACUGAAUAACACUAAAAACUGAUAUAUAUGCUCAAUAUAGUAAUAUUCUUGAAAAUAACAACAUAUGUAUAAUCUAAAAUGCCAAAAUAUGUCUGAUACAUGCAUGAAAUCCUAGGUAUCGGGUGUUCAUAACCCACCAUCUUUGACUAAUGAAACUGAACGAGAUAAUAUUAGAAAGUUGAUCAUAAUAGGGAAGUUCAUAAUUUAAGCCAAAACUCAAUUAUUUAUCAAAUAUGAGGGCAACUAUGAUCAUGAGCAAGAGAAUAUGUUACUCAUAUGGAAAAACAAGUACUCAUUAUUCAAUUAUAAGAACAACUAAGAAAAUUAAGGAAAACUCAUAUUUGACAUAAAACCCAACUUGGAGGGGAAUUAAACUUAGGGAUUUAGAAAUCUUUGGGACUCAAUGGGUGGAAGUAACCCAUUGACGAAAUCCCACAUAUCCAGAGAUGAAAGCCUUGGAGAAAUCUUUAGAAUUUGAACUUGAGGUUGAGAAAGUUGCCCCUUUUUUGCUAAGUGUCAAAUGGUUUUAAGUUUAUAAGGUAUUAGGGAAAUAUUAACCCCCCAAUAACUGGUAUUGAAGUGCCCAAACGAUGUGGGUUUGGGUUUAAAAGAAUGGGAAAAGACUAAACAAUCCUUUUUAAAAUAUGCAAAAAUUUUUAGGAAUAGUCGUCAUGAUUCAGGUAACGACUCAUUACGACUGGACACGAGUUGUGGUAUGAGUCACGACCUGAGGACGUGAGUUUUGAGUCUUUUCUAUUAUGACAAUGACUCCUCUCCUAACAACUGACUAGGUCUGAUAAUAAGUCUUUUACGAAGGUUUUUUGCCAAGGGCUGAGUUCUUGGUUCCUCACUAGUGUGACAAUGGGUCCACACACAUUGAUUUGUUUAGUCUAACAAUGAGUCAUGUGCUAGACUCAUCAUCACUGGUCUGAAUUUCUUGGUCAUUUACUUCCAUGGCAAUGAGUCUACACUACGAGUCAUUAUGUCUGACAAUGGGUCAUUACCUGGGCCAUUGCCACUGGCAGUUUGAUGGUACCUUAGGAAAUUUUCCAUAUUUUUUACUACGACCUCUUAUUAAAGCGAGACUAGUGAUGUUGAAAAGCUAAUUUAAUGGCCUAUAUUUUGGUAGGUCUAGAGAUCAAAAUUUUGAGGUAUUACAGUAUGGGAGAAUUCAUAGUUAUGGUUUUGAUUUUCAAAUAUGUUAUGUUAUCACUGUCAGUACUUCUAUCUUGAUUGCAUCCAUCAAGCUUAUGGAGGUCGGUUGGACUACUUUCCUCUUACUUGCAUAGUCUGAGCUUAUGGGGGGUUAGUUAGUCUAUAUUCAAUUGUUUUCUCUUUAAUAUUGUUUACUCUUCUAUUUAUCUUAGUCAUUCGGUGUGUUAAUUUAGGUUUUCUCUUUUAUGCUAACCUUAGUCUACUUUAUUACAUUUUAUUAUGCCUUUAUUAUGAUUUAUCUCAAUCGGCUAAUGAUGUCUACCAAGUGUCUAUUGCUUUGGUACUCAUAUUGCACUUCUGCAUCUUUUUCUGGUGCAGAUUCGGGUAUUAGUUGUCGUCGUUAGCGUCCAUUCUAGCAAUUGUCAGGAUUUGAAGAUAGGGUGAGAUUUUGGAACCGGGGAUGAUUCUUUCCUCCUAUACAAUUUGUGGAUAGUCUUUACAUUUGAAAC
Molecule: long non-coding RNA, 43563 nt
Filed under: Capsicum annuum
Lineage: Eukaryota; Viridiplantae; Streptophyta; Magnoliopsida; Solanales; Solanaceae
Description: long non-coding RNA (CANN_LNC014099)
Source: RNAcentral